This 117-nucleotide small RNA is filed under the name Marmota monax (woodchuck). The record is from RNAcentral. Lineage: Eukaryota; Metazoa; Chordata; Mammalia; Rodentia; Sciuridae.
UCCCGGCAUGGUGGCAUAUGCCUGUAGUCCCAGCUACUAGAGAGGCUGAGCCAGGAGGAUCACUUGAGCCCAAGAGUUUAGGACCAGCCUGAGCGACAUGGUGAGACCCCAGCUCAA